UAAUCUUUAGUUUAUUCAAAAUUUAAUAAUUACAAUAUUAAGAAAUAUUUAUUUUAUAAGAUUUU
RNAcentral lists this transfer RNA (65 nucleotides) under Meteorus sp. 1 XHS-2023a. Its description in RNAcentral is "tRNA-Val". The record is from RNAcentral. Lineage: Eukaryota; Metazoa; Arthropoda; Insecta; Hymenoptera; Braconidae.